GGGGGGGGCAAGCGUUGUUCGGAAUUACUGGGCGUAAAGGGCUCGUAGGUGGCCACCUAAGUCCGACGUGAAAUCCCUCGGCUUAACCGGGGAACUGCGUCGGAUACUGGGUGGCUUGAAUCCGGGAGAGGGACGUGGAAUUCCAGGUGUAGCGGUGAAAUGCGUAGAUAUCUGGAGGAACACCGGUGGCGAAGGCGGCGUCCUGGACCGGAAUUGACACUGAGGAGCGAAAGCCAGGGGAGCAAACGGGAUUAGAUACCCCGGUAGUCCUGGCCCUAAACGAUGAGUGCUUGGUGUGGCGGGUAUCGAUCCCCGCCGUGCCGGAGCUAACGCGUUAAGCACUCCGCCUGGGGAGUACGGUCGCAAGGCUG
RNAcentral lists this ribosomal RNA (371 nucleotides) under uncultured bacterium. Its description in RNAcentral is "bacterial SSU rRNA". It matches the Rfam family "Bacterial small subunit ribosomal RNA", at positions 527 to 896 of the family's 1533-position model. The record is from RNAcentral.